Molecule: long non-coding RNA, 547 nt
Organism: Oreochromis niloticus (Nile tilapia)
Lineage: Eukaryota; Metazoa; Chordata; Actinopteri; Cichliformes; Cichlidae
Exons: 3
Source: RefSeq, a predicted model, not a curated record
UGAAGGAAACAUCUGUGCUGUGUCUGCUCUUUCUGAUCUCACUGCUGAGCUGCACAACAAACCAAGGUCAGUAACCUUCUUCUGUCACAGUUUAAACCUGAGAAAUGCUCACUGAUAUGACCUGAUUGGGUUCAUGUCUGGGAUCCCAAAACUGAUGAAAUGAUGAAAUGAUGAAAUGUUCCUUGAAGAUUUCUUACAGCAUGUAGCAUAACAAAUCAUCAGUUUAUAAUAUUAACUCUCACAGCUCGUCUGACUGUGAGUCCCAGCAGCUCUCAGUUCUUUGAAGGAGACUUUGUGUCUCUGAGCUGUGAGGAGGACGACAGCUCUGCUGGAUGGACUCUGAGGAGAAACACAAGCAAACAACAGAGGACUCAGUGUGGAGAUGGAUGGGGAAAACCAGCUGGUUCUUCCUGUAACAUCAAUAUGAUGGUGCCUCAUGACAGUGGAGUUUACUGGUGUGAGUCCAGAGAGGGUCCCAUCAGUAACAUGGUUAACCUGACAGUCACUGGUGGAUCAGUGAUCCUGCAGAGUCCUGUCCUCCCUGUGA